This 253-nucleotide ribosomal RNA is filed under the name uncultured bacterium. RNAcentral describes it as "partial 16S ribosomal RNA". It matches the Rfam family "Bacterial small subunit ribosomal RNA", at positions 524 to 776 of the family's 1533-position model. The record is from RNAcentral.
CACGUAGGGACCGAGCGUUGUCCGGAUUUAUUGGGCGUAAAGAGCGUGUAGGCGGCUUUACAGGUCCGUUGUGAAAACUCGAGGCUCAACCUCGAGACGCCGGUGGAAACCGUAAGGCUAGAGUCCGGAAGAGGAGAGUGGAAUUCCUGGUGUAGCGGUGAAAUGCGCAGAUAUCAGGAAGAACACCCGUGGCGAAGGCGGCUCUCUGGGACGGUACUGACGCUGAGACGCGAAAGCGUGGGGAGCGAACAGG